GACGAACGCUGGCGGCGUGCUUAACACAUGCAAGUCGAACGCUGAAGCUCAGCUUUUGUUGGGUGGAUGAGUGGCGAACGGGUGAGUAACACGUGAGUAACCUGCCCCCUUCUUUGGGAUAACGCCCGGAAACGGGUGCUAAUACUGGAUAUUCACUGGUCUUCGCAUGGGGGUUGGUGGAAAGGGUUUUUCUGGUGGGGGAUGGGCUCGCGGCCUAUCAGCUUGUUGGUGGGGUGAUGGCCUACCAAGGCUUUGACGGGUAGCCGGCCUGAGAGGGUGACCGGCCACAUUGGGACUGAGAUACGGCCCAGACUCCUACGGGAGGCAGCAGUGGGGAAUAUUGCACAAUGGGCGCAAGCCUGAUGCAGCGACGCCGCGUGAGGGAUGGAGGCCUUCGGGUUGUGAACCUCUUUCGCUCAUGGUCAAGCCGCAACAAUGGUUGUGGUGAGGGUAGUGGGUAAAGAAGCGCCAGCUAACUACGUG
This 483-nucleotide ribosomal RNA is filed under the name uncultured bacterium. Its description in RNAcentral is "partial 16S ribosomal RNA". It matches the Rfam family "Bacterial small subunit ribosomal RNA", at positions 28 to 507 of the family's 1533-position model. The record is from RNAcentral.